CCCCUAGAUGUUCUGGGCCGCACGCGCGCUACACUGAACAGUUCAACAAGUCUUAACCUUGGCCGAUAGGUCUGGGUAAUCUUUGAACGCUGUUCGUGAUUGGGAUAGACCUUUGCAAUUAUGGGUCUUCAACGAGGAAUUCCUAGUAAACGCAAGUCAUCAGCUUGCAUUGAUUACGUCCCUGCCCUUUGUACACACCGCCCGUCGCACCUACCGAUUGGAUGGUCCGGUGAAGCCUCGGGAUUGUGGUUCUUGCCGCUUUAUUGUGGCGUGACCGCGAGAACUUGUCUAAACCUUAUCAUCUAGAGGAAGGUGAANUCGUAACA
This 326-nucleotide ribosomal RNA is filed under the name uncultured eukaryote. RNAcentral describes it as "partial 18S ribosomal RNA". It matches the Rfam family "Eukaryotic small subunit ribosomal RNA", at positions 1470 to 1796 of the family's 1831-position model. The record is from RNAcentral.